AAAGUUUGACAGACAAUCGCCGGCGGCUUCGCGCCGCGGGAGGAAAGUCCGGGCUUCGUAGGGCAGGAUGCUGGAUAACGUCCAGUCAGCGCGAGCUGAAGGAUAGUGCCACAGAAAUGGACCGCCGAUGGCCGGCAUGCCGGCACAGGCAAGGGUGGAACCGUGGUGUAAGAGACCACGAGCGGCGUUGGUGACAACGCGGCUGGUAAACCCCAUCCGGAGCAAGACCGAAGAGAACGCGGCGGCGCGCGAGCGUUGCAGUCUUAGCCCGAGACGCGUUCGGGUUGGUCGCUUGAGCCGCCCAGCAAUGGACGGCCUAGAUAGAUGAUUGUCGCUUCGAUGGUGGGAGGGUCGUUCCCGUUAAGACCACCGGAAGUACAGAACCCGGCUUAUGGCAAACUUUCCGC
RNAcentral lists this RNase P RNA (407 nucleotides) under Paenibacillus darwinianus. Its description in RNAcentral is "Bacterial RNase P class A". It matches the Rfam family "Bacterial RNase P class A". From Rfam's summary of the family: Ribonuclease P (RNase P) is a ubiquitous endoribonuclease, found in archaea, bacteria and eukarya as well as chloroplasts and mitochondria. Its best characterised activity is the generation of mature 5'-ends of tRNAs by cleaving the 5'-leader elements of precursor-tRNAs. The record is from Rfam by way of RNAcentral. Lineage: Bacteria; Bacillati; Bacillota; Bacilli; Caryophanales; Paenibacillaceae.